GACGAACGCUGGCGGCGUGCUUAACACAUGCAAGUCGAACGGAAAGGCCCUGCUUUUGUGGGGUGCUCGAGUGGCGAACGGGUGAGUAACACGUGAGUAACCUGCCCUUGACUUUGGGAUAACUUCAGGAAACUGGGGCUAAUACCGGAUAGGAGCUCCUGCUGCAUGGUGGGGGUUGGAAAGUUUCGGCGGUUGGGGAUGGACUCGCGGCUUAUCAGCUUGUUGGUGGGGUAGUGGCUUACCAAGGCUUUGACGGGUAGCCGGCCUGAGAGGGUGACCGGCCACAUUGGGACUGAGAUACGGCCCAGACUCCUACGGGAGGCAGCAGUGGGGAAUAUUGCACAAUGGGCGGAAGCCUGAUGCAGCAACGCCGCGUGCGGGAUGACGGCCUUCGGGUUGUAAACCGCUUUCGCCUGUGACGAAGCGUGAGUGACGGUAAUGGGUAAAGAAGCACCGGCUAACUACGUGCCAGCAGCCGCGGUGAUACGUAGGGUGCGAGCGUUGUCCGGAUUUAUUGGGCGUAAAGGGCUCGUAGGUGGUUGAUCGCGUCGGAAGUGUAAUCUUGGGGCUUAACCCUGAGCGGGCUUUCGAUACGGGUUGACUUGAGGAAGGUAGGGGAGAAUGGAAUUCCUGGUGGAGCGGUGGAAUGCGCAGAUAUCAGGAGGAACACCAGUGGCGAAGGCGGUUCUCUGGGCCUUUCCUGACGCUGAGGAGCGAAAGCGUGGGGAGCGAACAGGCUUAGAUACCCUGGUAGUCCACGCUGUAAACGGUGGGUACUAGGUGUGGGGUCCAUUCCACGGGUUCCGUGCCGUAGCUAACGCUUUAAGUACCCCGCCUGGGGAGUACGGCCGCAAGGCUAAAACUCAAAGGAAUUGACGGGGCCCCGCACAAGCGGCGGAGCAUGCGGAUUAAUUCGAUGCAACGCGUAGAACCUUACCUGGGUUUGACAUGGAUCGGGAGUGCUCAGAGAUGGGUGUGCCUCUUUUGGGGUCGGUUCACAGGUGGUGCAUGGCUGUCGUCAGCUCGUGUCGUGAGAUGUUGGGUUAAGUCCCGCAACGAGCGCAACCCUUGUUCACUGUUGCCAGCACGUUAUGGUGGGGACUCAGUGGAGACCGCCGGGGUCAACUCGGAGGAAGGUGGGGAUGACGUCAAGUCAUCAUGCCCCUUAUGUCCAGGGCUUCACGCAUGCUACAAUGGCUGGUACAGAGAGUGGCGAGCCUGUGAGGGUGAGCGAAUCUCGGAAAGCCGGUCUCAGUUCGGAUUGGGGUCUGCAACUCGACCUCAUGAAGUCGGAGUCGCUAGUAAUCGCAGAUCAGCAACGCUGCGGUGAAUACGUUCCCGGG
This 1343-nucleotide ribosomal RNA is filed under the name uncultured bacterium. Its description in RNAcentral is "16S ribosomal RNA". It matches the Rfam family "Bacterial small subunit ribosomal RNA", at positions 28 to 1378 of the family's 1533-position model. The record is from RNAcentral.